Molecule: long non-coding RNA, 1555 nt
Organism: Miniopterus natalensis
Lineage: Eukaryota; Metazoa; Chordata; Mammalia; Chiroptera; Miniopteridae
Source: RefSeq, a predicted model, not a curated record
GAAACCGCAGGGGAGGCGGGUUCCAGGGACCCGCCCCCAGGCUAACAACAACAAUAAUAAUAAUGAUGAUGAGGAUGGAGUUCUGCCUGGGAGUCGGGCAAUGGGCUAAGUAAACCCUUUACAAUAUUCUUUUAUUUAAUCCUUUUAAAUAAUCCUGUUAUUCGCUGUCAUUAUCCCCACUUGGCAGGUAAGUAAACUGAGUCACGGAUUGGAAAACUUGACCAAAUGGUCAGGAUCGGAACCCACUGCUCUCUGACCCUGUAGCCUGGCUGGGCUCUUAACCCUUGGUCUUCAUCCCAGGAGGCUCCCUCCCCAGGGAAGACUGCCUGCUUUCCCCCAGCCCAGAUGUCAGCGCUCCCCGAGACCCUCACCCACAAUCUGACGGAAGGGACUCUCCUCCCCUCCUCCCAGGGCCCAGGCGGUGAGUGUGUCCAGCUGCUGGAGCUCUGGUCAGCAGGGUUAAUGAAUGCUGGACUCAGGCUUCAAGCCAGGCCCAGGCCAGCCUUGCAGAACCCAGCCUGGGGCCUCUGAGGGCCCGUGUUCUGCACCAGAGUGCGUGGCAAAAAUGCCUUUCCUUUCUGGCUAAACCUGCCCGUGCACAUGCGUUUCCACAUCGGCUCAGGGCUUAUGCUGCAAUGUGUGGUGUGAUCAGUGUGUGGGCCCGGGUCGUCUUCCUGCCUAAACUCCUAGCCCCCCCUGUGGGCCCCCCUUCCUGUGCUAGGGCUGGGGUGAGGGGGAGGCCUUCUUGGCGGGAGCCUUAGAGAGGAGGAGGGAAGGAAGGGGGUGAGAGGAAAUUGCAGACAUAGCUGAAGGCGCUGCCUGAGGCCUGUGGGCCAUUGACCCCCCCUCUCUGUCCAGGCUGGAGACCCCCACUCCGGGUCCUGAGACUGGGUUCAAGCAGAGGGCAGAUCUGGAUGGAGAAAGGACUAGGACUGGCUCCCCUGGGCGUGGGAAAGGGACUCCUUUGUGUCUUUGUGGCUGUUUAGUCUGUUUUGUGAGCAUGUGGCACUAUUUCUGCCCAUAUCUGUAUAUUUGCGUGUCUAUUUUCGUGUUGUAUCUGCUUGAACAUUUUUGUGGGGGUGUGUACGUCUGUAUACAGCCGCUAGUCAACAAAUGCUAACCGAGCACCCUGCCCAGCGUUUCCGAUACUGGGGGUUCAGCAGUAAACACAACCUUUGUCUCAUGGAGCUGCCACUAAGGUGGACAGACAGACAAUAUACGAAGAAGAGAAUCUUGGUGCUGCUGAGUGCUCAGAGGCUGAUGGAAUCGGGAAAUGUGAUGGAGAACACCUGGGCAGCUCUCCAGCAGGACAUCUGAGGUAGCUGGGUGCCCAUGGGCUUCUCUUUGAAGCUCUUCCUCCUGAGGACAGUGGAGACCAGGCAGUGGCUACAACUGAUGGAAGCUUCUCAGUUCUUGUUCGACUUCUCAGGACCACAGGAGGCUGUUGAUCACACACACCCUUCUGGCCCUUUCUCCUUCCUUUGCCUCAGGGGCUCACAAUAAAAACUGGUGGAGAGCAAUCUACGCUUUGCUGAAUAAACCGACAGUUCUCACA